AGUGAACGCUGGCGGUAGGCCUAACACAUGCCAGUCGAACGGCAGCACAGUAAGAGCUUGCUCUUACGGGUGGCGAGUGGCGGACGGGUGAGGAAUACAUCGGAAUCUACUUUUUCGUGGGGGAUAACGUAGGGAAACUUACGCUAAUACCGCAUACGACCUACGGGUGAAAGCAGGGGAUCUUCGGUCCUUGCGCGAUUGAAUGAGCCGAUGUCGGAUUAGCUAGUUGGCGGGGUAAAGGCCCACCAAGGCGACGAUCCGUAGCUGGUCUGAGAGGAUGAUCAGCCACACUGGAACUGAGACACGGUCCAGACUCCUACGGGAGGCAGCAGUGGGGAAUAUUGGACAAUGGGCGCAAGCCUGAUCCAGCCAUACCGCGUGGGUGAAGAAGGCCUUCGGGUUGUAAAGCCCUUUUGUUGGGAAAGAAAAGCAGCAGGUUAAUACCCCGCUGUUCUGACGGUACCUAAAGAAUAAGCACCGGCUAACUUCGUG
This 492-nucleotide ribosomal RNA is filed under the name uncultured bacterium. Its description in RNAcentral is "partial 16S ribosomal RNA". It matches the Rfam family "Bacterial small subunit ribosomal RNA", at positions 29 to 507 of the family's 1533-position model. The record is from RNAcentral.